GGGCUAAUACCGGAUAACACAUGAAACCGCAUGGUUUCAUGAUGAAAGACGGUUUUGCUGUCACUUAUAGAUGGACCCGCGGCGUAUUAGCUAGUUGGUAAGGUAACGGCUUACCAAGGCAACGAUACGUAGCCGACCUGAGAGGGUGAUCGGCCACACUGGAACUGAGACACGGUCCAG
This 180-nucleotide ribosomal RNA is filed under the name uncultured Staphylococcus sp. RNAcentral describes it as "partial 16S ribosomal RNA". It matches the Rfam family "Bacterial small subunit ribosomal RNA", at positions 160 to 334 of the family's 1533-position model. Lineage: Bacteria; Bacillati; Bacillota; Bacilli; Caryophanales; Staphylococcaceae. The record is from RNAcentral.